Molecule: small RNA, 994 nt
Filed under: Histoplasma capsulatum
Lineage: Eukaryota; Fungi; Ascomycota; Eurotiomycetes; Onygenales; Ajellomycetaceae
Also listed under: 1 other name
Description: hypothetical RNA
Source: RNAcentral
CUUCUUUUCCCUUUUGAAAUGCUAUAUUAGUUUCUGUUUUGUGUGCAGGUAUGGAAGUACGAAUGCAAGUCACCUACCUAGGUGCCUAUGAACCCCCUCCAAGAUGGUAUACCAGCAGCCAGAAUGUACGGCUCAAGCGACAUGGCUCCGAGAAAAGCUGCGAUCCUGACAUCAAGCCAUCUCGCUGCGCGCCAGGGACAGAACGUUUGAAGGAGUAGUGAGCAUUGAGUGGAUUUCAGUAAGCAUCAUGUAAGCCCCCACAGUGAGACCAAGACCAGGUAAGAUUGAACACGAACUACCUCUUCGGGUCUCGACAGAUCCUGAAGGAUCCAAGAGAGCCAAGCCGAGGAGGGUUCUCAGCUGGUAAAAAAGGUUUCCGCUAGCGACCCAAAAAAAGACAAGCUCCAGGAUAAGGUGAGCUAAAUACAAAAAGUUCGGGGAGGAGAAAUGACCCUUGUCAGAGAUGUCUGCAUGGGUUUUUUGGUUUGGUGAAGCUCACUUGUUUACCCCUGUCUGCAAUGAAGAUUCCACGAACGAACUCCACGAAACGACGGGGCCGGAACGAUAAUGGGAACUUUCCUGGAACGUCUUUCAAAUACAGGGAGUAAAUGAAUUCGUUGAUAGCCACGAAUCAGCAGUCAAAAUCAAUUCUUUCCCCCGAGAGGAAUGGAUAAAACGAAUAAGGUUUGAUUUUAUUACAUGAUAGCAUAGCAAAAUUAUUCUAACUCGAGCUGUGAUUGUUACCUGAUUUAGUUACCAGUAAUUUAUAUAGAUAUCUAACUUCUCACUGAAACUUGCUUGUCAAAUAAGGUGCUGAACUUGGUGGUGGAUUUAGUGGACCUACCCAACCUGGACAUUCCAGAAAUGAACAGACCUUAUCCAUAGUUACUCCAGGACCUUCUGUGGUUCUUCUCAUAUUCACCCAACGACGAAAGAAAAAGAAAAUUAGAAGAUUGAUUGGGGAAAAAGCUACAAAUAAGAAACAGUAAGAAGC